AUUAAAAACCAAUGCCCUUCGGGGCUCUCUGGUGAUUCAUAAUAACUUCUCGAAUCGCACGGCCUUGCGCCGGCGAUGGUUCAUUCAAAUUUCUGCCCUAUCAACUUUCGACGGCUGGGUCUUGGCCAGCCGUGGUGACAACGGGUAACGGAGGGUUAGGGCUCGACCCCGGAGAAGGAGCCUGAGAAACGGCUACUACAUCCAAGGAAGGCAGCAGGCGCGCAAAUUACCCAAUCCCGACACGGGGAGGUAGUAACAAUAAAUACUGAUACAGGGCUCUUUCAGGUCUUGUAAUUGGAAUGAGUACAAUUUAAAUCCCUUAACGAGGAACAAUUGGAGGGCAAGUCUGGUGCCAGCAGCCGCGGUAAUUCCAGCUCCAAUAGCGUAUAUUAAAGUUGUUGAGGUUAAAAAGCUCGUAGUUGAACCUUGGGCCUAGCCGGCCGGUCCGCCUCACCGCGUGCACUGGCUCGGCUGGGUCUUUCCUUCUGGAGAACCGCAUGCCCUUCACUGGGUGUGCC
RNAcentral lists this ribosomal RNA (518 nucleotides) under uncultured fungus. Its description in RNAcentral is "SSU rRNA". It matches the Rfam family "Eukaryotic small subunit ribosomal RNA", at positions 214 to 732 of the family's 1831-position model. Lineage: Eukaryota; Fungi. The record is from RNAcentral.